Non-coding RNA from Podarcis lilfordi (Lilford's wall lizard), 103 nucleotides. The record is from the annotation of a GenBank genome assembly. Lineage: Eukaryota; Metazoa; Chordata; Lepidosauria; Squamata; Lacertidae.
AUCUCUUCUCGGCCUUUUGGCUAAGAUCAAGUGUGGCAUCUCUUCUAAUAAGCAGACGUUCCACUUAUUAGAAGAGGGGUGGCUAUAGAAAGGCCUACCUCCU